Molecule: ribosomal RNA, 253 nt
Filed under: uncultured bacterium
Lineage: Bacteria
Description: partial 16S ribosomal RNA
Rfam family: Bacterial small subunit ribosomal RNA
Source: RNAcentral
UACGUAGUGUGCAAGCGUUACUCGGAAUUACUGGGCGUAAAGCGUGCGUAGGCGGUGUGUUAAGUCUGUCGUGAAAGCCCCGGGCUCAACCUGGGAAUGGCGAUGGAUACUGGCGCGCUAGAGUGCGGUAGAGGAGAGUGGAAUUCCCGGUGUAGCAGUGAAAUGCGUAGAGAUCGGGAGGAACACCGGUGGCGAAGGCGGCUCUCUGGACCAGCACUGACGCUGAGGCACGAAAGCGUGGGGAGCAAACAGG